CGCAAGAAAGAAAGCCAUUCUUUAAAGUUUGAUCAACAUGGAGUCCAAGGUACAUAGGACACAGGCCGAAUCUUUUCAGGGUCAAGCUGCAUUCACAAAAACCAUGUUUGAAGGACCCCACUCCCUGUUCCAUACUUGGUAUUGAAGUGUUGAAAGUUCCCUUCCAUCAAGUAUGUCUCGCUUAUGGACAAAGUUAGGCUUAAAGCCUUAAACAC
Molecule: long non-coding RNA, 215 nt
Filed under: Elaeis guineensis (African oil palm)
Lineage: Eukaryota; Viridiplantae; Streptophyta; Magnoliopsida; Arecales; Arecaceae
Description: long non-coding RNA (EGUI_LNC016785)
Source: RNAcentral